GUGAAUUAAUGCGAACUGCAUACUGCUUUGAACAUCGACAUCUUGAACGCAUAUUGCGGCCACGGGUUAGCCUGUGGCCACGCCUGUCCGAGGGUC
RNAcentral lists this ribosomal RNA (96 nucleotides) under Paragonimus westermani. RNAcentral's name for it is "partial 5.8S ribosomal RNA". It matches the Rfam family "5.8S ribosomal RNA", at positions 57 to 153 of the family's 154-position model. Rfam says of the family: 5.8S ribosomal RNA (5.8S rRNA) is a component of the large subunit of the eukaryotic ribosome. It is transcribed by RNA polymerase I as part of the 45S precursor that also contains 18S and 28S rRNA. The record is from RNAcentral. Lineage: Eukaryota; Metazoa; Platyhelminthes; Trematoda; Plagiorchiida; Troglotrematidae.